Molecule: ribosomal RNA, 931 nt
Filed under: uncultured bacterium
Lineage: Bacteria
Description: bacterial SSU rRNA
Rfam family: Bacterial small subunit ribosomal RNA
Source: RNAcentral
AGAGUUUGAUCAUGGCUCAGAACGAACGCUGGCGGCGUGCUUAACACAUGCAAGUCGAGUGCGCGGUUGUAGCAAUACAUCUGGCGCACGGCGCACGGGUGCGUAACACGUGGGCAAUCUGCCCUUCGAUGGGGAAUAACUCCGGGAAACCGAAGCUAAUUCCGCAUAACAUUCCUUGGACUUCGGUUCGAGGAUUCAAAGCCGUAAGGCGUCGAAGGAGGAGCCCGCGCACGAUUAGCUAGUUGGUAGGGUAACGGCCUACCAAGGCUUUGAUCGUUAGCUGGUCUGAGAGGAUGGCCAGCCACACUGGAACUGAGACACGGUCCAGACUCCUACGGGAGGCAGCAGUGGGGAAUCUUGCACAAUGGGCGAAAGCCUGAUGCAGCGACGCCGCGUGGGGGAUGAAGCAUCUCGGUGUGUAAACCCCUUUCGACCCGGACGAAUGCCUCGCAAGAGGAGUGACGGUACGGGUAUAAGAAGCCCCGGCUAACUACGUGCCAGCAGCCGCGGUAAGACGUAGGGGGCCAGCGUUGUUCGGAAUUACUGGGUGUAAAGGGUUCGUAGGCGGUGUGGCAAGUUGGGAGUGAAAUCUCUGGGCUCAACCCAGAGGCUGCUUCCAAAACUGCCAUGCUUGAGUGUGGGAGAGGCGCGUGGAAUUGCAGGUGUAGCGGUGAAAUGCGUAGAUAUCUGCAGGAACACCCGUGGCGAAAGCGGCGCGCUGGACCACAACUGACGCUGAGGAACGAAAGCUAGGGGAGCAAACAGGAUUAGAUACCCUGGUAGUCCUAGCCCUAAACGAUCAGGACUUGGGGUGCCGCACGUUCGUGCGUCGUCCCGGAGCUAACGCGUUAAGUCCUGCACCUGGGGAGUACGGUCGCAAGACUGAAACUCAAGGAAUUGACGGGGGCCCGCACAAGCGGUGGAACAUGUG